Molecule: ribosomal RNA, 461 nt
Filed under: uncultured ammonia-oxidizing beta proteobacterium
Lineage: Bacteria; Pseudomonadati; Pseudomonadota; Betaproteobacteria
Description: bacterial SSU rRNA
Rfam family: Bacterial small subunit ribosomal RNA
Source: RNAcentral
AAGCAGGGGAUCGCAAGACCUUGGGCUUUUGGAGUGGCCGAUGCCUGAUUAGCUAGUUGGUGGGGUAAGGGCCUACCAAGGCGACGAUCAGUAGUUGGUCUGAGAGGACGACCAGCCACACUGGGACUGAGACACGGCCCAGACUCCUACGGGAGGCAGCAGUGGGGAAUUUUGGACAAUGGGCGAAAGCCUGAUCCAGCAAUGCCGCGUGAGUGAAGAAGGCCUUCGGGUUGUAAAGCUCUUUCAGUCGAGAAGAAAAGGUCGCGACUAAUAAUCGCGACUCAUGACGGUAUCGACAGAAGAAGCACCGGCUAACUACGUGCCAGCAGCCGCGGUAAUACGUAGGGUGCGAGCGUUAAUCGGAAUUACUGGGCGUAAAGGGUGCGCAGGCGGCUUUGUAAGUCAGAUGUGAAAUCCCCGGGCUUAACCUGGGAAUUGCGUUUGAAACUACAAAGCUUAGA